RNAcentral lists this ribosomal RNA (446 nucleotides) under Cacopsylla albigena. RNAcentral describes it as "partial 16S ribosomal RNA". Lineage: Eukaryota; Metazoa; Arthropoda; Insecta; Hemiptera; Psyllidae. The record is from RNAcentral.
AAACAUUUCUGAGGGGAAGAUGUUUUUGGUAUAACCUGCUCAAUGCUUAAGUAAAUAGCUGCAGUAUUUUGACUGUACAAAGGUAGCAUAAUCAUUAGUCUUUUGAUUGAAGGCUUGUAUGAAUGGUUGAACAGAAUAUUAACUUUUUUAAUUACAUGAAAUUUUAAUUUAUAUUUUAUGUAAAAAUGCAUAGUUAAUUAAAAGGGACGAUAAGACCCUAUAGAAUUUGAAAAUGUUGUGGUAAUUAUAUUUUUUUGUUGGGGUGACAGUAAAUAAACUUUUAUAUAGUAUUCAUUGGUAAGUGAUUAAGUGAUCCUAUGUUUAGAUAAGAAGAUAAAAUUACCUUAGGGAUAACAGCAUAAUUUUUUUUAAAAGAUCUUAUUAAUAAAAAAGAUUAUGACCUCGAUGUUGAAUUAAAAUAAAAUUUUGGUGUAGAAGCUUAAUUU